RNAcentral lists this ribosomal RNA (515 nucleotides) under uncultured bacterium. RNAcentral's name for it is "bacterial SSU rRNA". It matches the Rfam family "Bacterial small subunit ribosomal RNA", at positions 28 to 508 of the family's 1533-position model. The record is from RNAcentral.
GACGAACGCUGGCGGCGUGCCUAACACAUGCAAGUCGAACGGUCCGGCACUCAACCGACCCUCAGUCUAACUGUAGGGGAAGUUGAGUGCCGGAUAGUGGCGGACGGGUGAGUAACGCGUGGGCAACCAACCCUGUACAGUGGGAUAACACCGGGAAACCGGUGCCUAAUACCGCAUGAUACUUAAACAGUGCAUACUGAUUAGGUUAAAGGAUUUAGCCGGUACAGGACGGGCCCGCGUCCCAUUAGCUAGUUGGUGAGGUAACGGCUCACCAAGGCGACGAUGGGUAGCCGACCUGAGAGGGUGACCGGCCACACUGGGACUGAGACACGGCCCAGACUCCUACGGGAGGCAGCAGUAGGGAAUAUUGGGCAAUGGGCGAAGCCUGACCCAGCCAUGCCGCGUGAAGGAAGACGGCCUUAUGGGUUGUAAACUUCUUUACUAUGCGACUAACUAGAUUUACGAGAUAAUUCUAUAGAAUGUAGCAUAGCAAAAAGCACCGGCUAACUCCGUCC